ACUCCUACGAGAGGCAGCAGUGGGGAAUCUUGCACAAUGGGYGAAAGCCUGAUGCAGCGACGCCGCGUGCGGGAUGACGGCCCUCGGGUUGUAAACCGCUUUCAGCAGGGACGAAAUUGACGGUACCUGCAGAAGAAGCCCCGGCCAACUACGUGCCAGCAGCCGCGGUAAUACGUAGGGGGCAAGCGUUGUCCGGAUUUAUUGGGCGUAAAGAGCUCGUAGGCGGUUCGGUAAGUCGGAUGUGAAAUCUCCACGCUCAACGUGGAGGGGCCAUUCGGUACUGCCRUGACUGGAGUCCGGUAGAGGAGUGUGGAAUUCCCGGUGUAGCGGUGAAAUGCGCAGAGAUYSGGAGGAACACCCGUAGCGAAGGCGACACUCUGGGCCGGUACUGACGCUGAGGAGCGAAAGCKUGGGGAGCGAACAGGAUUAGAUACCCUGGUAGUCCMCGCCGUAAACKUUGGGCACWARGUGUGGGGCGCYAUCGACGCGUUCCGUGCCSUAGCUAACGCAUUAAGUUCCCCKCCUGGGGAGUACGSCCGCAAGGCUAAAACUCAAAUGAAUWGRCGG
This 567-nucleotide ribosomal RNA is filed under the name uncultured Acidimicrobiia bacterium. Its description in RNAcentral is "partial 16S ribosomal RNA". It matches the Rfam family "Bacterial small subunit ribosomal RNA", at positions 335 to 916 of the family's 1533-position model. The record is from RNAcentral. Lineage: Bacteria; Bacillati; Actinomycetota; Acidimicrobiia.